AUCUCUUCGAUAGGGAGUUCGUCAAAGUCAAACCCGUACGUUUUUUGCAAAUUCUUGUAUCGAUCAAAAGUGAUCAAUCCCUUCGGACAAGGUCCUCACUUUGACCAACGUCUCUUCUCAUUCCAAUGAGCCAAAUUUUUCAAAUUAUUUUUCACUCCAUGAGUUGAUCGGAUCCAUCAGGUAUCGUAUAGUGCCUACUCUAGUGGAUUGCAUUUUCAUGCUAGGCCUACCCUUGACACAAAAAGGGUUCCCUCAUAGGACAUGCAUACCGAUUUUGCAGUUUUGCCUACUAACUCUGGGUAUUUUUCUUUUGUUUUCCCCCUCCCCUGCAUUCAUAAAAAUGUUUCAAUAAGAUGAAAAUAUUCUUCUAUAUCUGAUGAUAAUUUUAAUCCAAUAAAGUUUGAAGAUUACAAGUGUUAUUUGAUUCUGGGGCAGAUCCUACAAUGAAAACAUAAAUGAUCUAUCUGGAAGCUCUACGCUAAAGCCUCUGAGAGAUUUUGUAAUUGUUUUCCAAAGGAAAAUUUUGUAUAUUUGAUUUGUUAAUACAUUUUGUUUCAAAAGAAAAGGAGACAAAAAGUGUAUAUGUGGAGCUCUUUACAAGUUUCUCUCUUCUCAUUUGUAUCGUAAUUGAAUGAGAAAUUUUGUUUCAAACUUUUUCAGUAAUAAAAUUUUUGGACAAUCAUUGUUUUGUGUAUAUUUAUGUACAUUUCAUUCUUUAUUCUUACUCAUUGGAGAUUUCAUGAUGAAUUUUGAAAAAUAAAACUAAGUUGAGAUUUUUUCAACCUCCAGCCUGAAUUUCACAAGUGUAUACUCUCCUAAAAUCCUUACACUCGAUUGGCAAUCCGAGCCAUA
Molecule: long non-coding RNA, 852 nt
Filed under: Coffea arabica (coffee)
Lineage: Eukaryota; Viridiplantae; Streptophyta; Magnoliopsida; Gentianales; Rubiaceae
Description: long non-coding RNA (CARA_LNC002968)
Source: RNAcentral